AUGUUCCUGUAAAGUCUACAAGGUUUCUUUUGGACGCUCGAUGCCCUGGAGAUUGGUUUUGUCUAAAUGAUGGACAGUGUGUUAAUCAUCAUUGCAGUUGCGCACAGGGUUUUUAUGGAGAUUACUGUGGAAAAAAUGAUCCUUGUCAUGGCGUAACCUGUCAGCAUGGUGGACACUGCACUUCCGGUAGCUGUACUUGUGUAUCUGGUUAUACUGGUCAGCAUUGCGAGAGAC
Long non-coding RNA from Mytilus trossulus (common blue mussel), 234 nucleotides. RefSeq lists it as uncharacterized. The record is from RefSeq and is a predicted model, not a curated record. NCBI's taxonomy places the organism in Eukaryota, Metazoa, Mollusca, Bivalvia, Mytilida, Mytilidae. The transcript is spliced from 3 exons.